AGCAACGCCGCGUGAGUGAUGAAGGAUUUCGGUUCGUAAAGCUCUGUUGUUAGGGAAGAACAAGUGCCGUUCGAAUAGGGCGGCACCUUGACGGUACCUAACCAGAAAGCCACGGCUAACUACGUGCCAGCAGCCGCGGUAAUACGUAGGUGGCAAGCGUUGUCCGGAAUUAUUGGGCGUAAAGCGCGCGCAGGCGGUCUUUUAAGUCUGAUGUGAAAGCCCACGGCUCAACCGUGGAGGGUCAUUGGAAACUGGGAGACUUGAGUACAGAAGAGGAGAGUGGAAUUCCACGUGUAGCGGUGAAAUGCGUAGAUAUGUGGAGGAACACCAGUGGCGAAGGCGACUCUCUGGUCUGUAACUGACGCUGAGGCGCGAAAGCGUGGGGAGCAAACAGGAUUAGAUACCCUGGUAGUCCACGCCGUAAACGAUGAGUGCUAGGUGUUAGGGGUUUCGAUGCCCUUAGUGCCGAAGUUAACACAUUAAGCACUCCGCCUGGGGAGUACGACCGCAAGGUUGAAACUCAAAGGAAUUGACGGGGGCCCGCACAAGCAGUGGAGCAUGUGGUUUAAUUCGAAGCAACGCGAAGAACCUUACCAGGUCUUGACAUCCUUUGACCACCCUAGAGAUAGGGCUUUCCCCUUCGGGGGACAAAGUGACAGGUGGUGCAUGGUUGUCGUCAGCUCGUGUCGUGAGAUGUUGGGUUAAGUCCCGCAACGAGCGCAACCCUUGAUCUUAGUUGCCAGCAUUCAGUUGGGCACUC
RNAcentral lists this ribosomal RNA (760 nucleotides) under Bacillus alkalogaya. RNAcentral describes it as "bacterial SSU rRNA". It matches the Rfam family "Bacterial small subunit ribosomal RNA", at positions 390 to 1140 of the family's 1533-position model. The record is from RNAcentral. Lineage: Bacteria; Bacillati; Bacillota; Bacilli; Caryophanales; Bacillaceae.